Molecule: ribosomal RNA, 2059 nt
Filed under: Triticum aestivum (bread wheat)
Lineage: Eukaryota; Viridiplantae; Streptophyta; Magnoliopsida; Poales; Poaceae
Description: partial small subunit ribosomal RNA
Source: RNAcentral
GUCCGAUCCACCCGUGCUGCAACGCGGGGUCGCGGGGGCACCUCCGCCUCCGGCUCCUGACGCGGGACGCAAGCCGCUGAGCUGUGACACGGGGUCGCCGGGGCACAUCCGCCGCCGCCGCCGGCUCCUUACGCGGGGUCACGGGGACAUCCGCCGCCGCCGUUGGCUCCUGACGCGGGGUCGCGGGGACAUCCGCCGCCGCCGCCGGCUCCUGACGCGGGACGCCCGCGACGCGGGGACGCAGGGUUGCCUGGGUCUCAUCCGCUGCCAGCUCCUGAACGGGACGUCCGCUGCUGCUCUCACUCCAGAUCGGGACGCCGGCCGCUGCACUUGCUUCUGUUUCGACCGCCAUCCCGAAUCGAGCUACCCGUCACUCCGCCGGCGACGCCACCAGCUCUUGCUGUAGAUGCUUCUGAUGAUGAUAGGGCUGCAGCCAGGGUUGCUGCUGGCGGCUGCUUCUUAUGACUAACAGGUCUUGGAUUAUUCGGAUGCUCUUUCCGUUUAUCGUGAUGAUUUGACUGCUUACACUCAGUGGUGUGAUGAUGAUGCUCGCGCUGCGGCUGUCCUCACUUCCAGUGUUCUUCCUCAGUUUGCUUCCGAGUUUAUGGGUCUCAGUACUAUCUUUGAGAUGUGGACUCAUUUUCGCUAGCGUUAUCAACCCUCUGGUGAUGCUCUCUACUUGUCUGUGGUCCGUCGGGAGCAUGCUCUUCAGCAGGGAGACUCCACUAUUGAUGAGUUCUACACUCAGAGUUUUUCUAUCUGGCGCCAGCUUGACUCUCUUCGCACUGCUGUUUGUGGCACUUGCCCAUGUUGCCAGACUAUGAGGUCAGACUUGGAGUUUCAACGCGUCUAUGAGUUCUUAUCGCGACUCCGUGGUGAGUUUGAGCCUCGACGUGCUCAAUUGUUUGCUCGUGGUCGUGUUCCUAUUUCUGAGGUGUUUUCUGAGCUUCGUGCUGAGGAGACUCGCCGACGUGGUGCCGGUUUGCUUCAGGUUCCUUCUGUGCUUGCGACUCAAGCUACUACUCCACCAGUAUCCUAUCGCUCCAGUGCUCCGCCGCUACUACCCACUCCUGGUAGUGAGGGCCACACUCGUGAGGGCCGCUCUCGUCCUCGUACUCAUUGUGGCUACUGCAACAGAGAUGGUCACCCCGAGUCUGAUUGCUUCAAGAAGAAGCGUGAUAUGCGUAAUAGGGAGCACAAUUCCUCUAUUGGGACUCGUGCUUCUUCCUCGACGUUGUCUACUGUCUCCUUGACCGAGCAAGAUAUUAUGAAGCUUAAGUGUCUGCUUGCUGCUUCAGGUACUUCGACAGGUACUACAGGCUCUGUGACUGGUGCUUCUAGUGUUGAGCGACCACCAUCUACACAGUCAGGUACAUGCCCAUGGGUUCUGGAUUCUGGAGCUUCAUUUCAUAUGUCUUUCGAUUCCUUUGUAUUGUCCUCUCUUAGAUCUCUCGAUUUCCCUAUUAAUGUUCUUACUGUUGAUGGUACUCCUCUUCCUGUUGCUAGUCGAGGCAUUCUUUCCACUUCUUCACUUCAAGUCCCAGAUGUUUCUCAUGUUCCUCGCCUUACCAUGAACUUAUUUUCUGCAAGUCAGCUUACUGAUUCUGGUUGUCGCGUCAUUCUUGACGUUGAUUCUUGCACUGUCCAGGAUCGUCACACCAAGGUCGUGGUUGGGGCUAGCCCUCGCCGCCUUGACUCUCAGGGGCUUUGGGAGUUAGACUGGCUUCAUGUUCCUUCCGCUGCCACCACACUAGCCAGUACAUCUGCCUUCGCCGCUUCAGCUACCAGCUCCUUCCAGAAGUGGCAUCAUCGACUUGGUCACCUUUGUGGCUCUCGGCUAUCGUCUUUAGUUCGUCGUGGUCUUCUGGGGCCUGUCUCAGGAGAUGUCUCUUUGUAGUGUCAGGGUUGUAGGCUUGGUAAACAAGUUCAGUUACCUUAUCCUACUAGUGAGUCAGUGUCUCAACGCCCUUUUGAUUUAGUUCAUUCCGAUGUGUGGGGACCGGCUCCCUUCGCUUCAAAAGGGGGCCAUCGAUACUAUAUUAUUUUUAUAGAUGAUUUC